Long non-coding RNA from Gorilla gorilla gorilla (western lowland gorilla), 887 nucleotides. RefSeq lists it as uncharacterized. The record is from RefSeq and is a predicted model, not a curated record. NCBI's taxonomy places the organism in Eukaryota, Metazoa, Chordata, Mammalia, Primates, Hominidae. The transcript has 3 exons.
CCCUACCAACUCCCUCUCAGAACCUCCAGGUUGCCAAAAAAUAUGCAGUACUGAAACGGCAGCUGAAGGAAAGGCAGGAACCAUGUGCUCUAAGACAGGGACCCUUGAGCUUCUCCCCCAGAACCCUCUUUGUACAACACCUGCCUCAGGAAAAUGGCCCCUACUCACCCUCAGUGCACUCACCGGCCACAGAGAAAAAUGCAAAACAGGAUGUAAAUAUGCUUUCUCUGUAAUGUGCUUUCUGUCCUAAGGUACAAGAAGCUCAAAGAACUCAGGCACAAGAAACAUGAAGAAAACUACAUCAAGUUGCAGCAUAACAAAAUUACUCAAAACCAGUUCUAAACAGACACUUUUAUAAGCAGCCAGAGGGAAAGGACAGGCUAAUUACAGAGGAACAAACUUAAGGAGCACAGCAAAAUUCUUGUCGGAAAUGAGGUAAGUGAGAAGACAGUGAUGUAGCAUCUUAAAGUGUUGAAAAACUAACAAGCAAAACAAAACCGUCAACCCAGAUUUCUAUAACCAGGGGUGAAAAUAUCUUUUGAAAAAGCAGGUGAAAUAAAGACCUCUUCAGACUUGCAAAAGCUGUCUAGAGCAGUAGAAUGUCAGUCCAACAGUUGAUCUUCACCAUGGGAUCCACAGUACAAGAAAUGUGAAUGGAAGAAGGAAGAUGUUUAGGCAGAGAGAAAAUGAUACCAGAUGGAAAUAUAGUUCUAUACAAAGGAAUGAAGAGCACUUGUAAUGGUAAAGAAAUCUUCUUUUGUGUAAUAUAGAUGAAAUUGUGCAUCACUUGAAGGUAAAUGGUAAUAAAGGAGGAUAAACAAAGGAAAACAGAGAAGAGAAAAUAGAAUAAUGAAAUAUACUCAAACUAAAAGAUGGCAGAAAAAAUA